Molecule: small RNA, 147 nt
Filed under: Nonomuraea sp.
Lineage: Bacteria; Bacillati; Actinomycetota; Actinomycetes; Streptosporangiales; Streptosporangiaceae
Also listed under: 1 other name
Description: c-di-AMP sequence
Rfam family: c-di-AMP riboswitch aptamer (ydaO/yuaA leader)
About the family: This family represents a conserved RNA structure found upstream of the ydaO and yuaA genes in Bacillus subtilis and related genes in other bacteria.
Source: RNAcentral
GACGCCCGGCCGCCGAAUCCGCGCCACAGCGGAGCCGGGGACCCACCAUUUCCGGGGUGAAUCGGACGCCAGGCCCACGCCGCGCCCGUAGGGCACUUCCAAGCCCGAACCCGUCAGCUAACCCGGUAGGCGGCAUGGAAGCAAGGA